AAGCGUUUUUGGGACAGACGAGUCAUUUCAGCACUUCCAGUUCAGAGCCCACGGGCCGGACACGGAGGGCAGCCUCUCCCCGGGCAGACAGGCUGGCAGCGAGGAAGCGGAGCCGGAGCAAUCCCCCGGCCUGAGUGAGAGGAAGAUGAAGGUCCUGCUGACGCUGGCGGUGCUGUUUGCCUGCAGUGUGUUCACCGCUCACGGGAAGCUCCCACGCAUGUUCACACCAGGACUCGAAGGAAGCACCGUAGGAAAUCUGACCGCCUACGGCUGUUACUCGGGAUGGGGCGGCAGCGGCACAUCGAGGGCUUCAGUGGACCGGUGCUGCUUGCUCCGUGCCUGCUGCUACGCCAAGCUGGCUGCACGGCGGUGCCGCGUGGGACCCAUCCAGCCCCUCAUGGUGCCCCGGGCAAGAGUCCCCCCCACCUGCCGCUCCGGGACUUGGUGCCAGAGAGGCGCCUGCAGAUGCGAGCAGGCAGCCUGGCUCUGCCGGAUGCGCGGCCGGGGGCUGCUCCGGCGUCGCGGCAAGUGCCGGGGACGAGGCGGGCGGUGUUGAAGCAAAAAGCUUCUUCGCAAAACCACCUCCAGGCUGAUAAGUAAAGGGACGGUGCGGCGCCAGGAGCGUUUUCCCAACCCUGGCGGGUCUCCUCCUCGGGGCUUUUUGGCUUUGACACGAGGACAACAACGCUCUAGUGAAGUUGCGUCAUUAUACACUGGAUCCGAGGAGGGAGAGCAGCGCAGAUGCAAUGUUUCAGCACAGAAAAACAAGGGAGGGGUGGACACCUGCGCUUCGUCGCUGCGAAGGGCGAGAUGGAAACCAGCGCGAGCCUCUGCGCUGACACUCGUUUCCCCUUGGCUCGAGCUCCCCGUGCAGCCUGUCAGCUCCCUCUGCUUUUUGCUUCACCGCAAAUUCUUUUCCGUUGCUCCAAAAUAAAACCGGAGAGCACAAAACAUCGGUCCUCAGUGUGAUGUGACUCAGCUGAGCCCAGCGACCACCCCUUGCAGGCAGCGGAGAGAAGCUAUUCUCUUAGCUAGGUUUCCCAUUGAAUUACCCAGAAAAAAAUGACACCUGA
RNAcentral lists this long non-coding RNA (1073 nucleotides) under Accipiter nisus (Eurasian sparrowhawk). RNAcentral describes it as "lncRNA (ENSANIG00000012720.1)". Lineage: Eukaryota; Metazoa; Chordata; Aves; Accipitriformes; Accipitridae. The record is from RNAcentral.